RNAcentral lists this ribosomal RNA (375 nucleotides) under Triticum aestivum (bread wheat). Its description in RNAcentral is "partial small subunit ribosomal RNA". The record is from RNAcentral. Lineage: Eukaryota; Viridiplantae; Streptophyta; Magnoliopsida; Poales; Poaceae.
AUGUCGAAAUGGUGGAAACUUGAUGCUGCACGUCUCUUCUGCUGGGAACAAAAGUCAAAUCACACUCUUCUGUUCUUACUUCUUUCCAACACCAGCAGAAUCUGGCAUCGGUUGUUUUCACUCGCUGUGUUUGUUUACUGUCGUUUCUUCUUGUCAGCCAAAACUCCUUGCAUGGAGAUACUGAUCUUUGUAGCAGCACAUGCAGGUUGUCUGAAAUCUGAACUCCCCACACUGCACGGGUGUUGUUUUCUUCUAAGUUCUGACACUGUUAACAAGCAUCAUGGUCGAGAAGUGCUGCGAACAGGCAACUGUGGUUCAGCUUGCGGAGUUAGGCAGUUGCUGACUCCUGACUUUAAAGCCAUGCAGGUCGCCUGA